CGCUGGCGGCGUGCUUAACACGUGCGAGUCGAACGAUGAGGCCUAGCUUGCUAGGUGGAUUAGUGGCGAACGGGUGAGUAAUACGUGAGUAACCUACCUUUAACUCUGGGAUAAGCCUGGGAAACUGGGUCUAAUACCGGAUACGACCAAUCUCCGCAUGGGGUGUUGGUGGAAAGCGUUAUGUAGUGGUUAUAGAUGGGCUCACGGCCUAUCAGCUUGUUGGUGAGGUAACGGCUCACCAAGGCGACGACGGGUAGCCGGCCUGAGAGGGUGACCGGCCACACUGGGACUGAGACACGGCCCAGACUCCUACGGGAGGCAGCAGUGGGGAAUAUUGCACAAUGGGCGCAAGCCUGAUGCAGCGACGCCGCGUGAGGGAUGACGGCCUUCGGGUUGUAAACCUCUGUUAGCAGGGAAGAAGAGAGAUUGACGGUACCUGCAGAGAAAGCGCCGGCUAACUACGUGCCAGCAGCCGCGGUAAUACGUAGGGCGCGAGCGUUGUCCGGAAUUAUUGGGCGUAAAGAGCUUGUAGGCGGUUUGUCGCGUCUGCUGUGAAAGGCCGGAGCUUAACUCCGUGUAUUGCAGUGGGUACGGGCAGACUAGAGUGCAGUAGGGGAGACUGGAAUUCCUGGUGUAGCGGUGGAAUGCGCAGAUAUCAGGAGGAACACCGAUGGCGAAGGCAGGUCUCUGGGCUGUAACUGACGCUGAGAAGCGAAAGCAUGGGGAGCGAACAGGAUUAGAUACCCUGGUAGUCCAUGCUGUAAACGUUGGGCACUAGGUGUGGGGGACAUUCCACGUUUUCCGCGCCGUAGCUAACGCAUUAAGUGCCCCGCCUGGGGAGUACGGCCGCAAGGCUAAAACUCAAAGAAAUUGACGGGGCCCGCACAAGCGGCGGAGCAUGCGGAUUAAUUCGAUGCAACGCGAAGAACCUUACCAAGGCUUGACAUAUACUGGACCGCAUCAGAGAUGGUGUUUCCCUUCGGGGCUGGUAUACAGGUGGUGCAUGGUUGUCGUCAGCUCGUGUCGUGAGAUGUUGGGUUAAGUCCCGCAACGAGCGCAACCCUCGUUCUAUGUUGCCAGCACGUUAUGGUGGGGACUCAUAGGAGACUGCCGGGGUCAACUCGGAGGAAGGUGGGGAUGACGUCAAAUCAUCAUGCCCCUUAUGUCUUGGGCUUCACGCAUGCUACAAUGGCCGGUACAGAGGGUUGCGAUACUGUGAGGUGGAGCUAAUCCCUAAAAGCCGGUCUCAGUUCGGAUUGGGGUCUGCAACUCGACCCCAUGAAGUCGGAGUCGCUAGUAAUUGCAGAUCAGCAACGCUGCGGUGAAUACGUUCCCGGGCCU
Molecule: ribosomal RNA, 1341 nt
Filed under: uncultured bacterium
Lineage: Bacteria
Description: 16S ribosomal RNA
Rfam family: Bacterial small subunit ribosomal RNA
Source: RNAcentral